This 201-nucleotide ribosomal RNA is filed under the name uncultured bacterium. RNAcentral's name for it is "partial 16S ribosomal RNA". It matches the Rfam family "Bacterial small subunit ribosomal RNA", at positions 1300 to 1500 of the family's 1533-position model. The record is from RNAcentral.
GUAGUCUGCAACUCGACUACAUGAAGCUGGAAUCGCUAGUAAUCGCGGAUCAGAAUGCCGCGGUGAAUACGUUCCCGGGUCUUGUACACACCGCCCGUCACACCAUGGGAGUUGGGAAUGCCCGAAGCCGGUGACCUAACCGAGAGGGAGGAGCCGUCGAAGGCAGGUCUGAUGACUGGGGUGAAGUCGUAACAAGGUAAC